CAGUAGCCACGGUAAAACGUAGGGUGCGAGCGUUAAUCGGAAUUACUGGGCGUAAAGCGGGCGCGGACGGUUACUUAAGCAGGAUGUGAAAUCCCCGGGCUCAACCUGGGAAUUGCGUUCUGAACUGGGUGGCUAGAGUGUGUCAGAGGGGGGUAGAAUUCCACGUGUAGCAGUGAAAUGCGUAGAGAUGUGGAGGAAUACCAAUGGCGAAGGCAGCCCCCUGGAUAGCACUGACGUUCACGCCCGAAAGCGUGGGGAGCAAACAGGAUUAGAGACCCCGGUAGUCCCUGUCUCUUAUACA
Molecule: ribosomal RNA, 301 nt
Filed under: uncultured bacterium
Lineage: Bacteria
Description: partial 16S ribosomal RNA
Rfam family: Bacterial small subunit ribosomal RNA
Source: RNAcentral